GCAAGUCGAACGAUGAAGCCCAGCUUCGCUGGGUGGAUUAGUGGCGAACGGGUGAGUAACACGUGAGUAACCUGCCCUUAACUCUGGGAUAAGCCUGGGAAACUGGGUCUAAUACCGGAUAGGAGCGUCCACCGCAUGGUGGGUGUUGGAAAGAUUUAUCGGUUUUGGAUGGACUCGCGGCCUAUCAGCUUGUUGGUGAGGUAAUGGCUCACCAAGGCGACGACGGGUAGCCGGCCUGAGAGGGUGACCGGCCACACUGGGACUGAGACACGGCCCAGACUCCUACGGGAGGCAGCAGUGGGGAAUAUUGCACAAUGGGCGCAAGCCUGAUGCAGCGAU
RNAcentral lists this ribosomal RNA (339 nucleotides) under uncultured bacterium. RNAcentral describes it as "bacterial SSU rRNA". It matches the Rfam family "Bacterial small subunit ribosomal RNA", at positions 57 to 395 of the family's 1533-position model. The record is from RNAcentral.